AAUCAACGCUGGUGGCGUGCCUAACACAUGCAAGUCGAACGAGAAAGUGGAGCAAUCCAUGAGUACAGUGGCGAACGGGUGAGUAACACGUGACUAACCUACCUUCCAGUGGGGGCUAACCUCGGGAAACCGGGGCUAAGACCGCAUAACCUCGUGAGGUGAGAUUCCUUGCGAGCAAAGGGGUAAGACGCUGGAGGAGGGGGUCGCGGCCGAUUAGCUAGUUGGCGGGGUAACGGCCCACCAAGGCGAUGAUCGGUAGCCGGCCUGAGAGGGCGCACGGCCACACUGGAACUGAAACACGGUCCAGACUCCUACGGGAGGCAGCAGUGGGGAAUUUUGCACAAUGGGGGAAACCCUGAUGCAGCAACGCCGCGUGGAGGAUGAAGUCCCUUGGGACGUAAACUCCUUUCGACCGGGACGAUAAUGACGGUACCGGUGGAAGAAGCCCCGGCUAACUCCGUGCCAGCCGCCGCAGUAA
Molecule: ribosomal RNA, 478 nt
Filed under: uncultured bacterium
Lineage: Bacteria
Description: partial 16S ribosomal RNA
Rfam family: Bacterial small subunit ribosomal RNA
Source: RNAcentral